GCUCCGUUGGUGAACCAGCGGAGGGAUCAUUACCGAGUUUACAACUCCCAAACCCCAUGUGAACCUUACCAAACGUUGCUUCGGCGGGAUGCCCCGGGCGCGGGCCGCAAGGCCUCAGCCCCGGAACCAGGCGCCCGCCGGAGGCCCAAACCAAACUCUUGUUUUUGUAGAAUCUUCUGAGUGGCCUUUUAGGCAAAAAAUGAAUCAAGACUUUCAACAACGGAUCUCUUGGUUCUG
RNAcentral lists this unclassified non-coding RNA (237 nucleotides) under plant metagenome. RNAcentral's name for it is "partial contains small subunit ribosomal RNA, internal transcribed spacer 1, and 5.8S ribosomal RNA". The record is from RNAcentral.